This 253-nucleotide ribosomal RNA is filed under the name uncultured bacterium. Its description in RNAcentral is "partial 16S ribosomal RNA". It matches the Rfam family "Bacterial small subunit ribosomal RNA", at positions 524 to 776 of the family's 1533-position model. The record is from RNAcentral.
UACGUAGGGUGCGAGCGUUAAUCGGAAUUACUGGGCGUAAAGCGUGCGCAGGCGGUUUUGUAAGCCCGAUGUGAAAUCCCCGGGCUUAACCUGGGAAUGGCAUUUGGGACUGCAAGGCUCGAGUGCGGCAGAGGAGACUGGAAUUCCUGGUGUAGCAGUGAAAUGCGUAGAUAUCAGAAGGAACGCCGGUGGCGAAAGCGACUCUCUGGCUCGUAUCUGACGCUGAGGCGCGAAAGCUUGGGUAGCAAACGGG